This 21-nucleotide microRNA is filed under the name Brugia malayi. RNAcentral's name for it is "bma-miR-9520". The record is from miRBase by way of RNAcentral. Lineage: Eukaryota; Metazoa; Nematoda; Chromadorea; Rhabditida; Onchocercidae.
AGAGGAUUCAUUCAAAUAUUA